GGUAACAGGGCCACGCUGCGAUCCCAAAGCAGACACAGCUGUUGCCGUUUGUGGGGCUCCCAUCAGCCGGUGCCUGGCCUCCAGGCCUCCUUGCCGUUUGAUCCCCAGGAAAUCUCUGUGAGUGGAAUCGUGAUGAAGACGGGUGAGACUCUAUGGGUCUGGAUCACCUUCUCCUGGCAAACUCUGCACCUUUAUCACCGCCUCUGAGAAGCCUGCCCUGAUUCCUCCAGGGAAGCCAGCCAUCAGGUUGUGAGCUGCCCUAUAGAGAGGCUCCUGUGGGAAGAAUGGAGGGAGCGCCCUGCCCAACAGCCACAGGGGAAACCAGGCCCACCAGUAGCCCAGGAGAAAGUGAAUCCUGCCAACAGCCAUGGGUGUGAGGUUGGGAUUGGAUCCUUCCCCAGUCGAGCCUUAGGAUGACAUCACAGCCUCCGCCAACAUCUUGACCGUGGCCUGUGAGAGA
Long non-coding RNA from Myotis myotis, 460 nucleotides. RefSeq lists it as uncharacterized. Lineage: Eukaryota; Metazoa; Chordata; Mammalia; Chiroptera; Vespertilionidae. The transcript has 3 exons. The record is from RefSeq and is a predicted model, not a curated record.